AGUUUAAAUUAUUAUUAUUAUUUAAAUAUUUAGCUUUAUUAAAAUUAAUAUAUUAAGUUUUAUUAUUUUUAAAGAAAAAAUAUAAUUAAUUAUAGUUAAUUAGUAUUGAGAAAGAAUUUAUUAAAAUUUGAAAAAGAAGUUUUUAGAUUAUGUACCUUGUGUUUCAGGGUUAAUUUAUUAAAACUUAAGAUUUUUAAUUUUCUCGAAGUAAUAAGAUCUAAUUUUAUAUAAAUUUUAUUGUAGAAUAAUUAUUUAUAAUAUAAAAUUAGUAAUGAAAUGUUAUUCGUUUAUUAAUAUAUCUAGUUUUUUUAGAAAUUAAUUAAAUUUAAUAUUUAAUGAAUAUUUAAUUAAAUUAUUAAUUAAAUAUUAUUAAAUGUAAAUAUUUUUAGGGAUGAGCUUAAAAAUAAAUUUUUAUAAAUUAUUAAGUUUAUUAAAAUUUGUAGAAUUAGUAAUAUUAAUCAAUAAAAGUUUGUUAUGAUUUAUUUAUUAAAAUUAAAAUUUUUAUUAUUUUUAAAUUUGGUAUAAAAAUUUUUAUUUAAAUAUUAAUUAUAAAGUAAUAAUGAUUGAAUUAGUAAAAUUGAAUGUUUAAUUGAGUAUUUAUUAAAGAUUAAGUUUAAUAAUUCGGCAAAUAUUAUUUUCACCUGUUUAAUAAAAACAUGUCCUAUUGAUUAUUUUUUUAGGUUUAACCUGCCCAAUGAAAUUUUUGAAUGGCCGCGGUAUUUUGACCGUGCAAAGGUAGCAUAAUCAUUAGUUUCUUAAUUAGAAGCUGGAAUGAAAGGUUGAAUGAAAAAUAAACUGUUUUAGUUUAAAAAAUUGAAUUUUAUUUUUAAGUAAAAAAGCUUAAAUUUUUUUAAAAGACGAGAAGACCCUAUAGAGUUUAAUAUUUAAUUAAAUAAUUUUUAUUUUGGAAUUAAAAAUUAAAUUAUUGAUUAUUAUUUGAUUGGGGUGAUUGAAAAAUUUAGUUAACUUUUUUUUUAUUUUUUUCAAAAAUUUUUGUUUUAAUGAUCCAUAUUAAUGAUUAAAAGAAUAAAUUACCUUAGGGAUAACAGCGUUAUUUUUUUGGAGAGUUCUAAUCAAUAAAAAAGUUUGCGACCUCGAUGUUGGAUUAAAUUAUAGUUUUGGUGUAGAAGCUGAAAUAUUAAGUCUGUUCGACUUUUAAAAAUUUACAUGAUCUGAGUUUAAACCGGUGUGAGCCAGGUUGGUUUCUAUCUUUAAAUUAGGUAAAUAUUUUAGUACGAAAGGACCAAAUAUUUGAUUAAUAGUUUAUUAUAAGAAUAAAUUUAAAUU
This 1287-nucleotide ribosomal RNA is filed under the name Coleoptera sp. 2 KM-2017. RNAcentral describes it as "16S ribosomal RNA". The stretch from base 1042 to 1200 matches the Rfam family "Archaeal large subunit ribosomal RNA", at positions 2542 to 2701 of the family's 2987-position model. RNAcentral also lists the same sequence under 1 other name. Lineage: Eukaryota; Metazoa; Arthropoda; Insecta; Coleoptera. The record is from RNAcentral.